GAAGAAGAAGAAGAAGAAGAAGAAGAAGAAGAAGAAGAAAAAAUAAUUAUUAAAUGAGAGUUGUAGUUCCCAGAAGGGAGAGAACUCUGCAGGAGGUGGUCAAAGAGGGCUCCCUGGAGGGGGCAAAGGCCAGGAUUGAAUAGCGUGCAAAUUCCAGGACAAGGCCUCUGAAAGAACUCCCUGUGGGUGUUAGGGUGGUUCCCAGAGAAAAGGUCCCAACUGUGAGCCACACAAACCCCAAGAGCUGUCUACAGUAGUUCCACGCCUUGUUUAGGACUUGUGUCUCCAGGAAGGGCCAAUAGGUCAUGGAUGGUUUUCUCACUAACUCCUGAGAGGCCAGCCUGCUGUAACCAUCCACAAAAGAGAUCCCUGGGCGUUCAGCCAUCUUAUCGCUCCCUCCAGAUGCAGCAACACAAGACAGCUGCCAUGCACCAAAGCUCUUGGGUAUCAGUGUUGUUUGUGCUCAGAGAGACUCAAGUUCAAAUUCUUCUCCUUAGGAGGACUGUCACUGGAGACGGGAGCCAUCAGUCAUUCACCUCUGUAGCACUGUCAGAGGCUGUGAGGUGAUCAGAGAUGAAGUGAGACAAUGGUCAUGGACAUUGGCUUGCAGUGUUGUGUGUGCGCGUGUGUGUGCGCGCGCGUGCGCGUGCGUGCAUGUCAGAUACUUACCAUGGCACAUAUGUGAAGGAGAGGACAACCUCAGGUCUAAGUUUACACUUCUAUCUUGCUUCAGGCAGGGCCUUUGGUUCACAGCACACACUAGGCUACCUGGCCUCCACUGGUGUGCUCUGGUAUUGCGAGCAUCCCCCACCCCCCCCAAGAUUCUUCCUCUCCAGACUGUAGAAUGUUGACCUGAGGUGGAGCCUGGGGAAAUGCUGGCAUGUUUGCUUUAAUGGGAAUGUUCUAGUGAGGAGAGAUAUUUAGCUCCUCGGACCUGCCAUGGCUUCUGCCUUCCCAGGGACUCAAUUGCUCAAAUUCCCCCCCCCCUGGAAAUUUAAUAAAUCUAUUAUUAUGGUUUUUCAGGUUGAUUAUUAUGGCUUGGGAUGUGAAGCAGGUUAAUACGUUAUUUUGUUGCCUUCCCAGCUCUCUCCUGCUGCUGCUCAGAAUAUGGUGUCUUUACUGAGUUAAAGGAAGGAGCCCCCUUUCUGGGUGGGCAAAUUAGAAAAAGCUGCGCUUUCCUUGUGGCAGACAUAACCUCUCAUCAGGGUGAAAUGCUCGGCGGGUGGAAUGUGAGGCUGGGUUUCAGGCUUCUCUCCAGUGCCGUCUGUGGUCGGGGCCCCUCUGCGCAGUGCACAGGCUAUAUAAUCGUUCACAAUGGCCCCGCCUGCCUACCGCUUGUUUCCUGGACGAUUGGCCGUCUGUCCCCAAGUGUCCUUCAUAAUAUGAAGUAUUGGUCCAGGUUUUUUGAGAUAGGGUCUCAGGUAGAGGCUGGCUUUGAUCCUUCUGCCUCAGCCUCCCAAGUGAUCCGAAUCUUCUGAUGAACAACCUCCGGGCUUUAGAGGAAGCUUCUCCUGAGCCCAUUCCCACGCCAGUGCUGGGACUGAGCCUAUGACCUCAUAGGGGCUCAGUACACACUCCACCACUGAGCUCCAUCCUCAGUCUAACAGACACUCCUGAAAGGUUCCAAGGAUACUCUUCCCUCCCACACGGGGACAAAACUAGUUGACAAGACAGUGCCUUGCAGGCGAUGGGGACAGUGACAUGGAAAUCACCCCCAAGGGACUAGUGACGACAGGAAGAAAGAUCCCAAGGGAGGCCUCACCAGUUCCUUUCACAGGCAGGCCGCCACACCUUCCCGGAGGAGGAGAACCCUCCCAUCACACGGGUUAUGCUGCUUUUCAUCGAGGAACCUGAAUAGAUGCGUGCAAGUCACGACUGUCUCCUGUCAGGGGACAUCAUGUAGGCUCCCUGCCUCUAUGGCGGCAGAAAGCAGUGUGGGACUCUGGUGUGACUUAGUGGCAUGUAUGAAGUCCUGGGUUCCAGCCCAGCCCAGCACCAGCACUGUCAACUAAGAGGGCAUUUAAGGGUGUGAGCCUGUAGCAAGGUACAUCUGGGGUUCAAAUCUCAACUUUGUCCCUUUCUAGCUCUGUGGCCUGGAUGUAUUAACCUCUUAUAGUUUUAUAGUUAUCUGUUUAUUUAGGAUUUUAAAGACAGGUUCUCACCAUGAAGCCUUGGCUGGCCCGAAACUCACUAUUUAGACCAGGCUGGCUUUGAACUCAGAGAGUGCUGGGAUUAAAGGUGUGCACCAUCAUGCCUGGCUUCUUAAGAACUUUAAGACGUAUAUGUUAUUCUUGGCUUCUUCUACCAUCAAGAAAUUAGGUCUGGGCCUGGAGAGACGGCUCAGUGGUCUUGAAGAAGACCCCAGGGUUGAGUCUCAGCAUCUAUGUUGCCUGGGUCACAACUGCUUGUCAUCCCGGAUCCAGGAUAUCAGAUGCCUUAUUCUGGGAUUUGUGGGCACCCACGUACAAGUGGUACACACACACACACACACACACACACACACACACACACACACACCAUGAUAAGAGAGAGAGAAACCAUGUCUCUCCUCUUCCUCUCCUUUUCAACCUGGAUGGGGAUUUGGGAGCACCAGAAGUUCCCCAAAUGUCGCAAAUGACAUAGUGACUUCUAAGUCUCAGCUGUGAAAGCUCACGUAACUUCCCGUGGCUCCUUUCAGAGCACUCAUGCUGGAAUUCUUCAGUUGCCACGAAAGAAAGCCAGCUACCCAGAAUCCUAAGGGGACACCUGAGAAGCCACCACCACCCAGCCCGAGUUACCUGUGUUGUCCUUGUUGGAGCCCCCAAUGUGUGGAUGAAGGCCUGCAGGUUCCCCGAAAACUCAAGGCCCCGAGUGAGAAGCACCAUGCCAGCCCAGUCACCCAAAUCCACACACAAGAGAGAUGGUUACCAUUGUUCUUUUUUUUUUCAAGGGUUACCAUUGUUCUGAGCCCACUGUUUGGGGGUGCUCUAUUAGGACACAGCAGACGUUGAUGUAGACUUUUUUGUUACCUGGAAGCCAACUGCCACCAUAACAAAACCGAGGUCUAGUACUCCCAAUUUGAUGUGCCCAUACCCUGAUCACGUGACUGAUUUAACCAACUCCCUUAUCAUUCAAAUGAGUUCAAUACCAAAUGGACAGGAAGUGGACAUCAUAUACAUCUGCGACACAAAAGGUGUGGAGAGCUGUUAGUGUGUGUCUGCCUGGGAAGGAAGUAGGUGAGUGGCGAUGGUCACAAGGUCACGUAGACUCACAGUGGCCAGGGAACAGAGGGAAGGGCAGAGCCCAGGCAGGGACCUGGGAAUGCUGGGGCUGCAGUUCUGGAAGGAAGUCAUAAUGAACAAGAGGCAAUGUCCCAGGGAUGCAGAGGCAGGGAACUCAUCCAGGUAAUGCAAAGCCCAGAGGCUGUCCAAGAUGUGCAGCACAGGAGGGGGGGUGGUGCAUAUACUAUCCGAAAUCCCAUGUGAAUCAAGUUCAAAGUCGGGUAGCGUUAACUGAUGGCAAAAGAAAUUUGUGAGUGUGGUUACAUAGAGUUGGAUGGAUAAUCCCUGUAGGAAGGGGCUCCAGGGAACCUUCUGGGACAUUCUGCAAAUAUUCUGUACUUCAUGCAGAUGGGGUAUAUCUGUAUCCAAGUUCAUGGGGGAGGCUAUACCUUCAAGACCAGUGUGUAUCUUGACUUUCCCCAGAGACCCUGGAAGCGUGUUGGUGUACCCUGCCUUCAUGCAGGAAGUCCCUUUAGGAAUUUCCCACCUGCCAGCCAUGGGAGUCUCUCCUGCACCCCACACCCCUGAGCGACUGUGGAGAGCUGCAUCUCUCCACUUGGCUUGAAACAGCGUGACCUUUUGGAGUUGCAGCAUGGGGACCUGCUCCUGGGACAAUAGAGAGGGAGAUCUGGAAUGUUCUUUGAGGUUGGUGAGCAUGUGGGUGUGUCUCCUCCUCUCAGCCACCUAAAGAGCCAGGCUGUUGGGAGCUGGGAAGCAUUUAAAUAAGACCAACAGAAACGUGAUUGGUGUGUCGGGGGCUGGUUCCUCAAAGGGGAGCAGGAAGGACAGGCACUGGGGCUUAGGACCAAGUCAAGAGCUUGCUUGCCCUGCUCAAAGCUCUGCUUGGAGUCCGGGUGGCAUCCCUCGGGAGGCUUCUUGUCAACUGCAGCGGUGGGUUACGCGUUUCAUUCAGAAUGCCCAGCAGGAAGCGACAGGCUCUACAUUCCAGGGCUUUUAGUCAUUUUCUCUUGCUGAGCUCUGGAGUUGAGAUUAGGACUUUCUUCAAACCUCACUGUCCUGGCCUGGUCUCCCAAGAGGAAGUGGGUGGGUCACUGUGCUCCGGAGAGAACACAGGCCCAAACUCAGGGAUCAAGGCCAGCAGAGCAAAUCCACAGAGGUCAGCUGAAGGUGUCCCAGGUAUGUCAAAGGGAUGUGAGUUGUGGGGUGGUAGCUCUUGCUCCCCAGCCACAGGCCAAGGAGAACACAGAGUCUCUCUCUGUGUGGUGUCUCUGUGCAUGUGAGAUGCACAGUGGGGACAGACAGGCCACGUAGCAACAUUUCAUCCCACUGAACCGCACACUCAAGCUUUGCUUUGUUCCCAGUCCGAGGGAGAGAAGGACCUGGACUCUCCACACUGAGAGGACAGUGGUGACACAUGUCCAGAUUUGGAGCAGGGAAUGGACCCCACGGAUACAACCCAGAGAAACCACAAGUUUGUUAGAAUGUCCGCUAUACUCCUGGCACUGAGCCCCCGGGUCGGGAAUAGACCAGCGUGCAAGAGAGACUCCAUCCCAGUCGUCACCAAAGCACCUGGGACAUGUGGCCUGGCAGGUGCCCACUAGGGUAAGGGAGAGAGCAUGUUAAGGCAGAGUGCUGGUAGACACCAGAUGCCAGGAGUGGGAAGGGAGUAGGCGAGUGUGGAUGGCGGAGAAGGCACGUAGCUGUAGGAAGGGCAGAGGCCAGUCUAGAGCUUGGCGGUGUGUGUGUGUGUGUGUGUGUGUGUGUGUGUGUGUGUGUGUGUGUGUGUGUGUCAUACCUACCACUCUGAAAGAAAGACAUGCUACGUGGGAGGCGACGUCCCCAGUUGCCGAGGCAGGGCUCCUGGGUCACAGAAAGCCCAGAGCCAGGCCCCGAGAGGAGAGCGAAGAGCUUACCCUCUUCUCCAAGGGUGGGGGGCAGAAAGAUAAACACACAGUCCUGACCCAGCACUGCAGCCAUGUCUGGGCUCUGUGAGGAGUCAGAACUCUAACUAAGAUUCCCAAGACUUCCCAGCCUGUUCCCACAUGAGGAUGGGCUCUCAGACCCACAAUCCAGGAACUCUCAGAAGGCAAAAAGGAUUCUAAGAUGGAAUUAAGGCUACCGAUGAGCGACGGGGAGCUCCUGAAAGGAUGGCGGCUCUUCAGUUGAGAGCAGGACACGACGUCAUCGGUUGCCAGCUUAGAUAUCUGGUGGUGAUUUGAAGACAGAGGGGCCUGCAUGGAGGAAAGAACCUCAGAGAGGCAGCUUCUAGGAGCUGGCAUCCAGCAGGAAGCUGUGACCUUCCGUCCUAUAGCCAGAGGAGCUGAAUUUUGCCACCGGCGAGAACGGUUUAGAUUGGAGUUUCUAGAAACCAGCCCAGCCAGCUGAAUCCUCGAUUGUUUGGCCAUCUGAGCUGACAGCCCAGCUGGGCCCACCUGGACUAAUGAUCUGCAGAACUGUGAAUAAUAAACAGGUGUUUUAAGUGGCUAA
Long non-coding RNA from Peromyscus californicus insignis, 5708 nucleotides. RefSeq lists it as uncharacterized. The record is from RefSeq and is a predicted model, not a curated record. The transcript has 2 exons. Lineage: Eukaryota; Metazoa; Chordata; Mammalia; Rodentia; Cricetidae.